Molecule: ribosomal RNA, 161 nt
Filed under: uncultured bacterium
Lineage: Bacteria
Description: partial 16S rRNA
Rfam family: Bacterial small subunit ribosomal RNA
Source: RNAcentral
GGAAUCUUCGGCAAUGGGGGCAACCCUGACCGAGCAACGCCGCGUGAGUGAAGAAGGUUUUCGGAUCGUAAAACUCUGUUGUUAGAGAAGAACACGAGUGAGAGUAACUGUUCAUACGUUGACGGUAUUUAACCAGAAAGUCACGGCUAACUACGUGCCCG